UUAUUUUUUGAUGGUUUAUUAUUUAUAUGUUUCUCUAGUAUAUAUUGUUGAGUGUAAUAUUUAUAUGAGGGUUCUAUAUUUAUUAGGAUAUUUUUUUUAUUUUUAGUGAUGACGAAUGGCGGCAGACUUCCUCAGCCACAUUAACUAGGUUUCCUCCCUAGCGAUCUUCUAUUCGCGCCAUUAUCAUGUGGGUCGUCCCAUGUUCCUCGGACCCAUCAGUAGUAUGUAAUAUUUUAUGUUUUGCGUGCUAAUAAAGUUUUUGAAUAUAUACAUUCAUUCAGGGUGUGGGACAUCUUCGAGAACAUGACAAGUGAGGUCGAGAAUGAUGAAGGAGACGAGAUAUGGACGUGAAAUCUCUCCUUCGAGAUACCCAUUAGGAACAAUACUGAGGUGCGUCGAGGCGUCAUGAUUCUUGGAGCAUAAUCGUUGACCAAGGUAGGCGUUCAGAUGGAUGUCAUGCUCCUUUCUUUGCAAGUAAUUGAUCGAAUUCGCUACCAUAUGCCUGAUUAGUUAUGGAUGAAGAUGCGAGCUUUAAUGCAGCGUAGUCUGGACGUGCCGCUAGUAAACGAGAGGUACAUUCAACAAUAGGGAUGUGGUACGUCAUAUAUAAUAUGAAAGUAAUGUUUAUUUAUUCAUAUUAUUAUAUGAGCACAUUCUGAUAUUUUUUGUUUGAUCGCUUGUAGGUUCUGCCCUAUGAUUACACAUAUGCUACGUGUGGCUUACGUGCUAUUAUCACACAAGCUAUACAACGACUCAAGUAUGCUUGGGACUCUGUGGAAGAGAUGGGCAAGAUGACGACAAUUGGCAUCCAGAAUUAUGUGAGAUUUAGGCAAAAUCAGACCAUCAAUAGUGUGUCUAUAGGUUACAUCUAUGGGAUGCCAUGUCCUCAACGUUGUGAGGCAGUGGAGAGUGCUGUAGUGCGGG
RNAcentral lists this long non-coding RNA (924 nucleotides) under Sorghum bicolor (sorghum). RNAcentral describes it as "long non-coding RNA (SBIC_LNC003196)". Lineage: Eukaryota; Viridiplantae; Streptophyta; Magnoliopsida; Poales; Poaceae. The record is from RNAcentral.